UACGAGGGGUGCAAGCGUUAAUCGGAAUUACUGGGCGUAAAGCGCGCGUAGGCGGUUUGUUAAGUCAGAUGUGAAAGCCCUGGGCUCAACCUGGGAACUGCAUCUGAUACUGGCAAACUAGAGUACAGAAGAGGGUGGUGGAAUUUCCUGUGUAGCGGUGAAAUGCGUAGAUAUAGGAAGGAACAUCAGUGGCGAAGGCGACCACCUGGUCUGAUACUGACGCUGAGGUGCGAAAGCGUGGGGAGCAAACAGG
RNAcentral lists this unclassified non-coding RNA (253 nucleotides) under uncultured Oceanospirillales bacterium. Its description in RNAcentral is "contains 16S-23S intergenic spacer region". It matches the Rfam family "Bacterial small subunit ribosomal RNA", at positions 524 to 776 of the family's 1533-position model. Lineage: Bacteria; Pseudomonadati; Pseudomonadota; Gammaproteobacteria; Oceanospirillales. The record is from RNAcentral.